GGAGAGUUGUCCGAGUGGUCGAUGGAGGCGGUCUUGAAAACCGUUGUGCCGCAAGGUACCGGGGGUUCGAAUCCCUCACUCUCCG
This 85-nucleotide transfer RNA is filed under the name Spirochaetes bacterium RBG_13_51_14. RNAcentral's name for it is "tRNA-Ser". It matches the Rfam family "tRNA". Rfam says of the family: Transfer RNA (tRNA) molecules are approximately 80 nucleotides in length. Their secondary structure includes four short double-helical elements and three loops (D, anti-codon, and T loops). RNAcentral also lists the same sequence under 1 other name. The record is from RNAcentral. Lineage: Bacteria; Pseudomonadati; Spirochaetota.